This 81-nucleotide transfer RNA is filed under the name Nocardioides antri. It matches the Rfam family "tRNA". Rfam says of the family: Transfer RNA (tRNA) molecules are approximately 80 nucleotides in length. Their secondary structure includes four short double-helical elements and three loops (D, anti-codon, and T loops). The record is from Rfam by way of RNAcentral. Lineage: Bacteria; Bacillati; Actinomycetota; Actinomycetes; Propionibacteriales; Nocardioidaceae.
GCCGGAGUGGUGGAACGGCAGACACGCAGGUCUUAGGAACCUGUGCCCGAGGGCGUGCGGGUUCGAAUCCCGCCUCCGGCA